AUUAGAAAUGGCUUUGGACACCUUCCCCCUUCCCUGAGCGGCUCCAGAAUGUUUCUUGCACUGUUCUCUACCCACCUUCUUCACUCUGGAAGACUGGAAACAGAGAAGUUUUAGUGGGUCUGCUUCCCAGCUGUGGAAUCAGAAAGCCUGGAAAAGAAGUGGCUGAGCAAAGACCCUCAGCACCCCCCGGUGAGUGUGACAGCUGUUCCUGGGCUCCUGCCCCGUCUCCUUGGGGGUCUGUCUGUGCCACAAGGGCUGCUGGUCGGGUGGGUGCAUGGGAGUGGAGUGGAAGAACAAGCACAGGUCAGACAAGAGGAAGGUGAGGGCAGGGAAUGAACACAGACGGCAAUGAAAUGUCAUUCCGUUAGCUAUUCAUUGAAAGCCCCAUUUGAACUGUGCUCAUCCCAAAGACAACCUUCCCCCAGCAACACCCGUGAACGUUCAGGUCAGCCACCAAGGGUGUUCUCACGGCCUGCCCCUUGAGCGAUGGGAUUCCUCAGUGCUUAGCUGUCCUCCACUGCACCACCAGUGAGGAGUGGUCCAGAGGCACCGCCUUCGGGUGCUGAAGCGGUACCGAUCCCUCCCCGCCCGGCUAACUAGCACCUCACUUUCCUAUUGAUCAGGGGGCCCCUGAGCCCGUCUCAGAUGGAUGGGGACUCAUUCACCACAGCUCCCGGUGGGCCUGGUGGCCUCUCCAGAGAAGAAUAGGCAGGCUGAGAUGAGAGCUGGGGUCCUGAGGUCCAUCCACCUGGAGAAAUGUGGGGUUGAGGGGAGGAGGAGACACAUCUAGAAUAAAGAGAAGUGCUCCCCCACACUAGGGACAGCUCCAGAGACGCGCAUUUUCAGAUAUGGUCUGGUUUGUGUGGCUGGGCUCUGGGAUUAGGGGAAUGGGGCUGGCGCUCCUCCUGGUCCUCAGACAUUCAGAGAUGGCCAGGAGGAGUAGAAGACCCAUUAACACCUCAGCAAAGGAAGCAAGUGCCUGCAAGAGCCUCCUACACAUCUAUGGAAAACUUCGAGCCGGGGUACACAGGUGCCUGCCCUAAGUGAACCCACCCUCCCUGGGUUCACCCCAUCCUUUAUGCCCGUCCUCUCCGCACGGACGUGACAGAUGAUGGAAGUCACACUUUUGCGCGGCCUCUGGGGCUUGCUGUGGUUGCCCCUCGCCCCAGCAGGUCACGGGGGGCAUGGUGCUCUCCCACUGGAGGACAGCUCACUGCCCCAUCAGGCAGGAACGCUUCACUUCCUGACCCCACAGGGAGUGGACCCUGGGCUCUGCACACAGCCCACACUCAACUGGCACUUGUCAACCACCCAACUGGAAGUGGGCAUUACACACUGGGGUUGACAGGUCCCUGGGCCCAGAAGGUCCCUUGGCAGCCACUGAAGACAGCUUAGAGUCUCACUUGCUCUCCCCCAGCCUUGCCUGUGCCUGUGGACUCCUGGCCGACAGAGCUCCCAGGCCUGGCUCUUAAAGCAGGACUAAGCAGUCUCGUGGCUUCUUCCCUAGGCUGGCCGAAACCCAGCUCCCCCACAGGAGGGACUGAGGCCAUCUCAACGCCUCCUGGACACCAGUGGAUGUGACACAGCAAGAGCUCUUUGAGAUGGGGAAGCCAGCGCAGCUCCUUUUGAAUUCCCCCUCCCCCUCAGCCCUUACUUUGUCCACCUAAGCCAGGCCUUCUACUCAGCGAGGAAUAUUCCAGAAAUCAUCCAUCACUAAACUCUGGGAGUGGAUCUCCGUAGCUGUACAGUUGGAAAGGAUCUGGAAAACCCACAGACCCCCCGCGAUGGGAAAGACCGCUAGCACGUGGCACGCAGGGACGCCUCAUCCGUCACUAUGGCACCAGCGCCUGCACGACCCGGACGGG
This 1865-nucleotide long non-coding RNA is filed under the name Lynx pardinus (Iberian lynx). The record is from RNAcentral. Lineage: Eukaryota; Metazoa; Chordata; Mammalia; Carnivora; Felidae.